CGAUCGCGUAUAUAAAAAUUGUUAAAAAGCUCGUAGUUAGAUUUCUGCUGAGGACGAUCGGUCCGCCCACUGGGUGAGUAUCUGGCUCGGCCUUGGCAUCUUCUUGGAGAACGUUGCUGCACUUGACUGUGUGGUGCGGUAUCCAGGACUUUAAAUCUGAGGAAAUUAAAAUGUUUCAAGCAGGCGCACGCCUUGAAUACAUCAGCAUGGAAUAACAAGAUAGGACCUUGGUCAUAUCUUGUUGGUUUCUAAAGCUGAGGUAAUGAUUCAUAGGGAUAGUUGAUGGCAUUUGUAUUAAAUUGUCAGAAAUGAAAUUCUUGGAUUUGAUAAAGACGGACUACUGCGAAAGCAUUUGCCAAGGAUGCUUUCAUUG
Molecule: ribosomal RNA, 373 nt
Filed under: uncultured eukaryote
Lineage: Eukaryota
Description: partial 18S ribosomal RNA
Rfam family: Eukaryotic small subunit ribosomal RNA
Source: RNAcentral